Pogoniulus pusillus (Red-fronted tinkerbird) is the source of this 1367-nucleotide long non-coding RNA. RefSeq lists it as uncharacterized. The record is from RefSeq and is a predicted model, not a curated record. The transcript is spliced from 2 exons. NCBI's taxonomy places the organism in Eukaryota, Metazoa, Chordata, Aves, Piciformes, Lybiidae.
UCCCAGCUAAGAACAAUGCAGUGAUGUUAUCAGUCCUUCCUCGGCGGCACUGCAACUAAGGAGAGGCUUCCCUGGCAAACAACGAGGAGUGUCCUGCACCUCAGCCCUGAAUCCAGCCACUGACUAUUAAGCACGGUGUGGGGGAGAGAUCUCUGAGUGAGAAGGAAAGUAGAAAGCUGGAAGGAGGCUGAUGGGAAGAAGAUUCUUGCAGCUGAGCCUGGAGAAGAACCUAUGCCUGAAGUUCUCCUCCCACAGAGGAGCCGCAAGUCAGGCUUCGGAGCAUGGAGCAGCUGAGAGGCUGAGAUGAAGACGGGAGAUAAAUGGACGUGGGGAGUGAAUAGCAUUCAAUGAGGGAAACGGGAGCAGAAAGCUGACUUGGAUGGGAUUUCUCUAUGUCUAAAUGACAUUUUAAAUUCUUUCAGGGAACAUUUUUCAUAUAUCCCAUUCCUCUAGGUCUUGUGGCAGCAGAAAGCCUCAUUCCCUUCACAUUCUCAGUAAUGCAAUUCCUUUCAUAUCAGAAGGUUGCAUUAAUGGAAGGAAGCAGGAUGAAUCUCAGGACUGGAAGCACAAAACGCCCUCAUCAUAAGGCCACUGGUACAACACAUGAGAAGGCUUUUUCCUUUUAACCUUGGAGAGGAUAUCAGAUUGCUUUUAAUAUUGUAUCUAUCAAUGCUGGGCCACAGGACAUUUGUUUGCUUCAGGUGUCAUGGGAGCUGAAAAAUCUUCUUUGUGGGGAAUGAUAUUAUCCCUCUAAAGUCUUAUCUUAAGGAAAAUAUAUGCAAACUUGCAGGGAAACCUCUCUGGGUUGCAUUUUAACUUAACAGGAGGUUCUUUUCCCAGAGCAUCUGUUAGCAGAGGAAUACAUGCACACACACAUACUCACACCACUGUAGCAACCAAAGAAUGCAGGACCCUCCUCCGAUGGGCUGGGGGAAGGAGGCAGCUGGGGGCAGAAGGCUUCUCAUGCCAUUCUGGCUCAGAGAUAUCCCUGGAACGAAGGGGUAAUUACACAAAAGCCAAAGAUGUUGGUUCUGAAUUGCGGCCAGCUGGCGGCCUCUGAGUCAGCAGGGCCCAGCCCCACUACCCUCCAGCAGCUGCCCUGGGCUCUUCCACUGCCAGAUGCUGUUAAAAUGAUGAGACAUCCCCCAGCCCAUGCCGAGAACCCUGAAUCUUGCUCUGCAAAAGCACUUACUGGGCUUCUUACAGCGCAGUAAUGGUGCAAUGACCACAGUGCUGUGGGUCACGUCCAACUGAACAGGAGAGAGAAAGCAGCUUAUACGCUGCUAAUACUUCCAGAGAGGGAAGGGAAGGAUUCUGUGGUCUGAGAUAGGGCAGAAGAGGUUCAAAUUACUGACAGAUUUUGAAAA